GGAAUGGCUACUGCCUGUGAGAAAUAUACAACCUACUUGGCUUUGUAGAGUUAUUAGUAAUUCCUUCAUUCACAUAUUUAUUCAAUAAUGCUUUCAUUCAUUUUUUUGAGCUUCUAUUGCAUUUCAGAAAAUCACUGAAGAUUCGAAUGAGUACUCUCUGCACUGGGGCCAGUGUCAGCAGAAGGCUUCAUGGAGAAGGGAAAUUUAGACUUACAGGAGUAUGGGUUUGUAUAUGGAAAGAAGAAUUGAAAGGGCUGCCUGCCUCAGGCCAAAGGAGAAGCAGGUGUGGAGAGGAAGAGGCCAGGCAAGAUGAACCAUACCACAGGUGACAAUGAACUCAGGCAGAUGCCCAGACUCCACAUGAUUGUGGCGACGACUUGCUGCCACUUCAGAGAGAAUCAAGACAGAAG
RNAcentral lists this long non-coding RNA (410 nucleotides) under Fukomys damarensis (Damara mole-rat). RNAcentral describes it as "lncRNA (ENSFDAG00000030350.1)". The record is from RNAcentral. Lineage: Eukaryota; Metazoa; Chordata; Mammalia; Rodentia; Bathyergidae.